Long non-coding RNA from Xiphophorus hellerii (green swordtail), 7228 nucleotides. RefSeq lists it as uncharacterized. The transcript has 2 exons. NCBI's taxonomy places the organism in Eukaryota, Metazoa, Chordata, Actinopteri, Cyprinodontiformes, Poeciliidae. The record is from RefSeq and is a predicted model, not a curated record.
ACGAUCGCCGUGGCGUUCCUUCAACGUUACGUCGGCGUCCCGACAUUGGCAUCCAUCAUGACCUGUGGAUUGUCUGAGUCAUGCUGUGACUCAGACGUAUGAGGCUGAGCUGCAUGCAGCUGGGACGCUCCGUCUGCACAGCGUUCCUCGGGUUAAACAUCUGUCUUUCUGGACGGAGACGGCUUUCGUUGCAUGUUGGAAUCUACUCAAAGUCGCUGCUCCGACGUGGCAUUUACAAAAACAAACAACUCGAAACCCACAUUUUUUUGUGCGUCAGCUUUCAUUGACUUUUAUUUCCAUUGAUCCGGAUGCAGAAACACUCUCUGUUGUUUAUUUAGCUUUUGUUCUCUUUCCACUUUUUUUUGUGAAUAUGUACAUUUAUAAAUUAGAGGUAGACGAUACGGACUUCCAAGUCUUUUCACAUUUUGUGGUGAUAUUGUGAUAACCAUAAAAGUGGUGAUAAAAAUGAUUCACUUCAUGUUUUUGUAACUUUUUGGAAAAGAAGAAGUUUGAUUUGUAUCACUAAGUAACUGCAUUUAGUCACAUAUUCAAAAAUGUUUAACGCUUAUUGGUAAUGUCAUUGAAGAAAUAGUGGAGAAAAUAGCAAAAACUAACAAUCCCAACAAUAUGGAGAGUUUUUAAAUAUCAUUAAUGGGGAAUUUAUUGUGACAACGAUAAAUCCAAAUUCUUAUGACAAAACAUUUAUCACAAUAAAUGAUAAACAAUAUGAUAAAUUCCCUGUAAAAGGAUUUUCAUUAAAGUAAAGUUCCUGUUUCUGAUUAGUACAAUGGGCUCCUUCAUAUAAAGUACAAACAUGCAUGUACAGGCAGAGAAGCGUGUCCCAGUAGCCGUCCAUCCUCCUCCGCCAGGUCCAUGAAUAAUGCAGAACUCCCAUUUUCAUGCCACUUCGCAUCCCUUUCCUCCUCCUCCUCCUCCUCCUCCUGUGCUGUCGUAAAAAUAGAACCGUAGACCUGCAAGCUUUCACUCUGGUGUUUACACCAUCAUGACCCUCCCCACUGCUUUUUCUCCUGACAGUGGGAUUAUUAGUCUCAUUCAUCUCAGCCUGCUCCCCUUCUCUAUCCUCCACAGGAACCAGCGAGCAGAGACGAGGCAGACGGGUUUUGCCGGGCCAGGCCGGGAGAGGAGGGGAGGUCCUCAGCCCGUUGCUUAGUGACUCCUGUACCAUUUCCGGCCCACGCUCCAGUGGUUGGGGACCCGAGAUGUAAAGCCCAGGUUCCUCAGUGCUGAUGUGUUCAGGUCACACAUAUUGUGUUGAUCAUCAUUAUGCAUCGUUUAUCUGCAAAUCAGUGUGCAGACAUCUUUCGUUUUCUUCUUUUUUUUUUCACCUACCGGUUUAUUCAGGAAGGAGUCAGAACUGAAAUGAAAUGUGCAUGCUUUAGUCUCUAGUCUCUUUUCUUUCUCAAAACAGACAGCACAAAGCAGGGAGAGCAUGAGGAAUGGACAUAUGGUGCUAUUUGAAAGGAUGACAGAACAAAAUCAAACUGUGUGAGACGAAAUUAGCUGAAACGUGCCGAUACAAGUGUUGCAGGGGAAUCAAAGCGCUGCUUUUUGAAUAUGAAGCAUAUCGCAGACGCUCUGCGCGACUGCUUUUUUUUUUAUGACUUUUUUUUUUCUUUAACUAACCCUCCCUCCCUCUCUCCACCUCGCCCCUCCAUCCCCCCUGAGUUCCCUGCUGUCUCUAAAGCUUUUCAAAAAGCUUUUAGUUUGGCAUUUGAUUCUCUGCUCUCCUUUUUUCUUUUUUCCCCCCCCGAAUGUGUCGGGCUGUUUUUUUUUUUCCCCUUCUUUUCUUCUCUUUCAUGCAGAGCACCUUGGCCACUGAAAGGGACUGUUGGAGGGGUCCGCGGUUAUUGAAUGUGAAGCCGGAUGACAUGGAGAAGAGAGGACAUGCAAUGAAAAUGAAACAAGCAGACAUGAGGAGACAGGGAAAGCAAAGGUAAGAGGCAGAAGAUGGAAAGGGACAAAAAGAGAAGAUGAAAGAAGCAGGGGAGAGAGGAAAACGGUGGAGAUGAGAGGAGAAAGAAGAAGGUGAGAGAAAAAGGAAAGAGACAACAGGGAGAAAGAGAGAGGAAAAGAAGAAGAAACAUGAUGAAAUAAAAACACACAGACAAAAAAAAUAAAACAACAGGACUAGAGGACAAAAGGACAUUAAAUAGACAAGAAGUAAGAGAACCUGCAGCGUGGAAAAACGAACUGAGAGAUCCGAGGAAACAAGGUGAUGGGAUAACAGGGAGACGAAGAAGAUGAGUUCAGGGAGGAGAACAUAAAAGGGAAGGAGGGAAAAAAAAACAGAAACAUGCCUGUGAAAAGUGAGAAGAGUGUAUACCAGACCAGAAUGGGGUGGCGGGUGGAGGGGGAGGAGGAGAAGAAGUAGAAGAAGAAAAGAGAGAGGACAGGAGGAGGAUGAGAAACCAGUCGUUCUUUACCCAGGGGGAGGCACAGCGGGGGAUGGAGGGGGCGUACGGGGGGGAGAUGGGCUCCUCAUCCCUCUCUCCCCCAACUGAGCCUCCUUCUUCAAGGUCAGACACACACACACACAUGCACAGAGGCAAGCAGUUCUGGCAGACAUGGUACACACCAGUACACGCACACACACACACCCACCCACACACCCAGUGGAGCUCAAGUAGAAAAGACGCCUUCUGCCUGCCUUUUUCUCUCUGACUCUGUGUACCAAGCAGCCAAGUCUCAGUCAACCAUCUGGAGAUAAAAAAAAAACAUUCCUCCCGUACACACACACACACACCCACCCACCCACACAUAUGAAGUGUGUGUUUAUGAUAAUAGCCCAAAUGCCUCUAUUGAUUCUUUCUCUUCCUGCGUCUCUCUGCAUCUGCGUGUGUGUGUGCGCGCGUGUGUGCAUGUGAAAUCAGUUCUUAUCACUUCUACAUGAAGAACACUUUUCCUUUCUUACCUUAAAAUAUACAUUUGCCACUAAGCUCCAAGUUAGAGCUAUGAACAAUUUGGCAUCCCAAAUAUGCUGUGCAAAUUUAGCGCGGCUAUCAAUAUUAUCACAAUCUUAAUGGUAUUAAUUGAAAAUAUGCCAAAUGUUAUCCAUAUCGUCACUGCAGUUGCUGCUAGCCUAAGGGGUAGUAGUUGCAAGAGUAGUAAUGAUAUUUUUGUAUCUAUAUGUUCUAUGGAUUAAUACAUUUGACAUCUGUGCAUAUUUCAGUUUUGUUAUGUUUCUCCAACUAUUGUUAUGUUCUAGAAACACAUUGACAAAUAAAAAAAGUCUUGUGUCUUUUAUCUUAGUCAUUUAAAUUUAUAUUCUGAACAACAACAUUCAGGUUAAUCAGCACAAGGUGACAUCACUUCCUGUGUCAUUUCUCAUUUCUAUCUGAAAUGGUAUAAAGUCCAGAACACCGCUAUGUUUAAGUAUUGUUGUAUUUGGUGGUAAAAGAUCUUCAUUUAGAGCUUUACUGAAUUUAAUAUCUGUUCAAUGGACAUUUAGUUUCUAUUACUGUGUCUUAUACUAGUAAGAUAUGUCACUUUAAAUCAGCAAUGUCACAUAAGCAUUCCUCCAUCUUUUCAUCUAGCUUUUUUUUCUUUCUUUUUUUUUUGCAAAAUUAGUUACUGACUGAAACACUUUUAUUCUGAACAGAAAAUGAUUCAAACACAUAGAAAAUCUGGCUAGACAGGUAAAGCCGUUGCUUGUCCCUGUUUCCUGUGAACGUGUCACCACACCUCCUGUGUUGCUGAAACCGAGCAGCAGCUGGGGCUUUAAAAGGAGCGAAUAUUGAGACAUGGCACAAAACAAACAAAAACAGAGACUGCUCCCAGAAAAUGUCAAACGCGGACAUGAUGUAAGUACCAGGCUGGAUGUUUUAUCCCUCAAAAAAAAACCUCACUCAUUUCUCACUCACUUCAGUUUUUAUCUCAAUCUGACCUGAAUGCCUUCUUGCACAUGUUCCCUACAAGGUUUGUGCCAAACUUCUAAAGGAAGUUUUUUUUUUUGUGGCUUUCUUUCAUUUCGUGAUCUUUCCCUUCCCUUUCCUCUUUUCCAGAAAGAUCUGGGGGGUUUUUUGGACAUCAAGAUGAAGACCCCGUCAACACGGGAAUGUUUUUUUUUUUCUGGAAAGGCUCGUCGUUUUUAAAAACACCUCCACGCUUGACUGUCUUCAGAAGCGUUUCCGGCCACAUGGAAACACUGAGACACGAGGCCCAAAAUGCUAUUUUUUGCACCUCCAGGCCUGUUGGCGGCGCUAAACACGGCGCACGCGGCAUGUGAGUAAAGCCUCCACGUGAGUUUAGCGGUGAACACAACACAAGAAAACAAGAAAAGUCAGAGUAGAGUCUUUUGUAGGACUUUUUGCAGAACUGUUAAUGAGAUUCUCCAACAGCUGCAGCACCACUAAGAAAAUACAAUCUACCAUUAUUGUUGUUUUAUAUGACGCAUAUGACCCAUUUGGGGUUACAGGUCACGUUAGGGGUUGGGAAAAUAUGUCGCCGUUUUCACAAAAGAGAUGUUUUUCACUGUCCACACGAAUACAUUCACUCUGGAAUGUUUUGGCUCCCCAAAAACGGCGUCUCCAUGUGGGUGUGGGGCAAAAACAGCUAAAUGUUUUUGCUUUGUACUUAUACAGAGCGUUAUCUAAUCCAGAGGACUCCAAAGCACUUUACACGACAACAGUCGUUCAUCCGACAACUGAGACAGAGUGAGUUGGGGUUCCCGUAUGGACGGGGGGCUAACAGUUGUCUUGGUAUUUUCCCACAUGAGCUGUGGCUCUCUGCAGCUCCUCCAAAGUUGCCAAUGGCCUCUCAGCUACUUUUCAGAGUAAGGCUCUCCUUGUCCGGCCUGGCAAAAAUGUGAAAUACUGUGACUAACUUUCCUUUCACUUCCAAUGACGUUUGCAUGUUUUGACAAAACAUGAAAAAAAAUGAAAAGUGUGUCCAGUUUCGUCUUGCAUGUCCUGCAGAAAGGCGUGGUUCUGUAGCUGAAGCCUCCCGGGUCGUAGUUCCUCUGGAGGCUAAAAGAGGGGAAGGCCAGUCAGACGCUAACACACUUAAAAUAGAGUGGCGUUUUUGGUUGUUAUUUUACCAUCGGAUCAUGGUAUCGUAAUAUAUACUAUAAAAUGCUGCAAAACUUUUCUUCCCUUUACUGUCUCUCAUGAAAUCGCAUUAAACUUUUUCUAAGUUAGUACUGCCAAAACAAAUAUCUAAUAACUUUAUGGCUUUACAGGUCUGAAAGGUUAAUUCACAAUUCUUGAGUUAAGUGGAGACAGACCUGUGGAUGUAUUUUGUAAGUCAACACUUCAAGCAUACCGCUACUCUGAAUUACAUCAUGGAGAAAUCAGCCUAGAUAUCAGGAGGAGAUGUAUGGACCUUCGCAUGUUUGGUUGAUCCCUGGGAGCAAUUUCCACAUACCUGAAGGUGCCGCAUUCACCUGUACAAACUGUAAAGUACACCAGCUGUGUAGGAGGAAUAGGCCAAAAUCCCAGCAAACUGUGUGGAUUUUCAUCCAAGACAUACAGCUUAAAAGGCAAUCCUACCAAAUAUUACAGAAGUCUGACUUUGCAGGGACAUGAAGCAAUUUAUCUUUGAAAAUCCUUUCUUAUGAAAUCUGGCAUUUAGCAACUAGAAAUACCUCUUGUUAUCUUACAUGGUCUUAAAACAGGAGAAGUUUAAUCUGAUCAUGUGAGACAGUGAGAAUUUCUUCUCUUUUUUUUUGCAUGCCUUAAUAUCUGAUUUCAACUUUAUUUCAAGACAUGAGACAUCAUGUUUUAGCAUUAGGACAUAGCUUUUACAAAUACAGCUAUUAAAUUAAGAUAUUGUUGAGCAGGAGAAAAGAUCCGAAGUGUUAAAAAGCUUUAAUCAGAGAGCUUCCUCUAACACAUCCAGCCUCUCCUUUUCAGACUAAAAUUGUCUCCUGCACCCCCUCCACCCUCCUCUUACUCUCAUGUUUUUUUUUUUUUUUCCUUACUCCCCCCUCCUUCUUCUUCUUUUAUAACUGACUACAAAUUUACUGCUGGUCAUUACCAGAGGCAGGGUCAAUUCCCCAAACAAUGUGUUUGGUGCCACCAUAAAAAGGGUGUUUUUUACGGCAUGUAGCGGUAAAAUGCUAUUAAACAGAUAAAACACCUGCAACGAGCAUCAGGAGGAUUAUAAAAAGAAUUGCCUUGAUAAACUCCACGUAUCUGCGAGAUGGCACACCGGCAGUUCUUGCCUUCGCGGCCGGGGGAUGGAGGAGUGGGGGGGGGGAGGAUUGCAUGUGCUGCUGAACACAUGGAGGAGACGGGCCUGCGUGACUCUGCAGCGCCACCAUGUGAACAGACGUGGAGGACCGGGCAGCCACUCUGAGAAGGAAUAUUUCUAAACAAGCAGCGAGAUGUGUCAAAAAGGGGACAUUAUUAAAGCUAAAUCCAGUGGUGUGUUCUUUAACACUAGAUGUACACUAACAGUCAAAAUAUGGUGGAGUACCUAAAGUGCACAGUAAAAAAUAUUGGCUAAUACUUUGUGUAUGUUAAGGUUAGUGACGUCACAAGAGCCAAACACCCACGCUAUGGAAAUCACUAUGUUCUCUGUGAUAGACAUGUCUAUGUUAGAUGUUACAUACAUGUCACAUGUGAACACAGGAAAGGAUGGACCUAAUGUAUGUUAGACAUAUAUACCCCAUACUGUAAGUUACAUGAAAUCUAUAAAUCAUACAAUAAUGCAGGAAAACACAAUAAAACUAAAAAGAUUUGAAUGUGUGAUAUUGUGUGCAUCAAUCUGAUGUCACUUCUGCUUGCGCUGUGGAUAAAAAUUGCAAACAUGAACACAGAACAUAUUCGCUCCGGUGGAAGCAACUCGCGUAAAGCCCGUUCGCUGGAUGCUAUCUGACUCAAAGCUGAGAUCUUUCUUUUCUUUUCUUUUUUUUAAUUUUGUCACUGAAUAACCUAAGACUGUCCAAACUCAGAACCUUGCCGUUCCACUUUUGUGUGUCUUCGUGUUUACAAAAAUGUCUCAAAAUGCAUGGAUAAUUCUAAUAUUCUGCUCAAAUUUAUGCAGCCGUACAACUCAACACCUUUGAGGAAGGACCUGGAUUCAAACUUUUUAAAUAAAGAGGAAAAUAUAUGUAAGAUAUAUACAAACUUAAGUACUCAACAGGACUGUGAUCCGUUGCCAAAUGAAUGCCUUUUAUGAUGUCACCAUAGGCAUGAGUGAGAGGAAGCUUUCCGGGAGUUUUGCUCUUGCUUAAAUAGCAACUUGAAACAAAACUGGAAAAAAAAAC